UACGAAGGGGGCUAGCGUUGCUCGGAAUUACUGGGCGUAAAGGGAGCGUAGGCGGAUAGUUUAGUCAGAGGUGAAAGCCCAGGGCUCAACCUUGGAACUGCCUUUGAUACUGGCUAUCUUGAGUAUGGGAGAGGUGAGUGGAACUCCGAGUGUAGAGGUGAAAUUCGUAGAUAUUCGGAAGAACACCAGUGGCGAAGGCGACUCACUGGCCCAUUACUGACGCUGAGGCUCGAAAGCGUGGGGAGCAAACAGG
This 253-nucleotide ribosomal RNA is filed under the name uncultured bacterium. RNAcentral's name for it is "partial 16S ribosomal RNA". It matches the Rfam family "Bacterial small subunit ribosomal RNA", at positions 524 to 776 of the family's 1533-position model. The record is from RNAcentral.